CUACGGGUUGCUGCAGUGGGGAAUAUUGGACAAUGGGCGGAAGCCUGAUCCAGCCAUGCCGCGUGUGUGAAGAAGGCCUUUUGGUUGUAAAGCACUUUAAGCGAGGAGGAGGCUACUUGGAUUAAUACUCUAGGAUAGUGGACGUUACUCGCAGAAUAAGCACCGGCUAACUCUGUGCCAGCAGCCGCGGUAAUACAGAGGGUGCGAGCGUUAAUCGGAUUUACUGGGCGUAAAGCGUGCGUAGGCGGCUUCUUAAGUCGGAUGUGAAAUCCCUGAGCUUAACUUAGGAAUUGCAUUCGAUACUGGGAAGCUAGAGUAUGGGAGAGGAUGGUAGAAUUCCAGGUGUAGCGGUGAAAUGCGUAGAGAUCUGGAGGAAUACCGAUGGCGAAGGCAGCCAUCUGGCCUAAUACUGACGCUGAGGUACGAAAGCAUGGGGAGCAAACAGGAUUAGAUACCCCAGUAGUC
This 465-nucleotide ribosomal RNA is filed under the name uncultured bacterium. RNAcentral describes it as "partial 16S ribosomal RNA". It matches the Rfam family "Bacterial small subunit ribosomal RNA", at positions 339 to 795 of the family's 1533-position model. The record is from RNAcentral.